CUUCCUUCCCUUCCCUUCCCCCUUCCUUCCCUCUAGAGGACCUCUUCCAAGAUUAAAGCCAUUCUUAAGAGCAACCGCUAUCCUCUGUGGCUGACUGGCCCAGGACUAUACAGAAAGGUGCCAGCAGAAUUGUGAACCCAAGUGAGUAAUGGACAGCAGUGGUUACAUUUGGACAUGCUCUUUGCUGGACCAGUAGAUUGUUCUUCAAAUGAAAAAAAGCUUUGUGCAGUCCUCAUCGAGUCUGCUCUGGAGUAAGGCCCUCUGAUUUUCAUCAUGAACCGGCACAACGAAGUUGGCAGCUCCGUGGGGCAAGAGUUCCUCUCUCCCUUCUUUAUUUGCUCAGUGAUUAAGACAGGACAAAGUCCCCACCCCUUCCCCUCCCGCCAGGCAAAGGUGCUUUACUGCGUCGUCCCUCCACCUUCCUAAUGACUUCUGAUGGCAGGAUUGUGUCCUCAGGGCUACUGCAAGAGAAAUGAGAUGGAUCCCUCCUGAGAAACCCCAGAAGAAGCCUCACCGGAUGUGUACAAAGACCUAACUCACAUUGCAAAUGGGGCUUUUUCAUGUUCUGUAGACCACUGUUUGCUUGGCUAAUUCUUAUUCAACAAGUGACCUCAGAAAAUAUGAUAAAUAAUCUAGGUCUUCUUUUCACUCAGCUUUGGUUUCUAGGUAGACUCCUCCACCUGAAUGGCAAGGAGAUAUCUGGAAAAGAUACAGACCUUUAGAUGUUGAGCUAAAUGGGAAGGAAAUACUAUGUCUAUACUGUUAAUGUUGUUUGGAAAUGUAAAAAACCUGGCCAACCUGGCCAUCCAUAAACAUCUGCUAAACAAUGUGUGGAUGAUGAUGGCGAUUUAGAUUAAACAUUUAUAAUAAAACA
Molecule: long non-coding RNA, 874 nt
Organism: Varanus komodoensis (Komodo dragon)
Lineage: Eukaryota; Metazoa; Chordata; Lepidosauria; Squamata; Varanidae
Exons: 4
Source: RefSeq, a predicted model, not a curated record